CCUACGGGAGGCAGCAGUGGGGAAUAUUGCACAAUGGGCGAAAGCCUGAUGCAGCGACGCCGCGUGAGGGAUGACGGCCUUCGGGUUGUAAACCUCUUUCAGCAGGGAAGAAGCGAGGGUGACGGUACCUGCAGAAGAAGCGCCGGCUAACUACGUGCCAGCAGCCGCGGUAAUACGUAGGGCGCAAGCGUUGUCCGGAAUUAUUGGGCGUAAAGAGCUCGUAGGCGGCUCGUUGCGUCGGUUGUGAAAGCCCGGGGCUUAACCCCGGGUCUGCAGUCGAUACGGGCAGGCUAGAGUGUGGUAGGGGAGAUCGGAAUUCCUGGUGUAGCGGUGAAAUGCGCAGAUAUCAGGAGGAACACCGGUGGCGAAGGCGGAUCUCUGGGCCAUUACUGACGCUGAGGAGCGAAAGCGUGGGGAGCGAACAGGAUUAGAUACCCUGGUAGUCCACGCCGUAAACGUUGGGAACUAGGUGUUGGCGACAUUCCACGUCGUCGGUGCCGCAGCUAACGCAUUAAGUUCCCCGCCUGGGGAGUACGGCCGCAAGGCUAAAACUUAAAGGAAUUGACGA
RNAcentral lists this ribosomal RNA (568 nucleotides) under uncultured bacterium. RNAcentral's name for it is "bacterial SSU rRNA". It matches the Rfam family "Bacterial small subunit ribosomal RNA", at positions 338 to 916 of the family's 1533-position model. The record is from RNAcentral.